GACGAACGCUGGCGGCGUGCUUAACACAUGCAAGUCGAGCGGUGAAAGCGGAGCUUGCUCCGCUGGAUCAGUGGCGAACGGGUGAGUAACACGUGGGCAACCUGCCCCUCACUUCGGGAUAACUCCGGGAAACCGGAGCUAAUACCGGAUAUGACCUCCUUGGGCAUCCUUGGAGGUGGAAAGUUUUUCGGUGAGGGAUGGGCCCGCGGCCUAUCAGCUUGUUGGUGAGGUAGUGGCUCACCAAGGCGACGACGGGUAGCCGGCCUGAGAGGGCGACCGGCCACACUGGGACUGAGACACGGCCCAGACUCCUACGGGAGGCAGCAGUGGGGAAUAUUGCGCAAUGGGCGAAAGCCUGACGCAGCAACGCCGCGUGCGGGAUGACGGCCUUCGGGUUGUAAACCUCUUUCAGCAGGGACGAAGCGAAAGUGACGGUACCUGCAGAAGAAGCACCGGCUAACUACGUGCCAGCCGCCGCAGUAA
RNAcentral lists this ribosomal RNA (483 nucleotides) under uncultured bacterium. RNAcentral describes it as "partial 16S ribosomal RNA". It matches the Rfam family "Bacterial small subunit ribosomal RNA", at positions 28 to 523 of the family's 1533-position model. The record is from RNAcentral.